This is a regulatory RNA element of 126 nucleotides. It matches the Rfam family "Ribosomal protein L20 leader". From Rfam's summary of the family: This family is a putative r-protein leader autoregulatory structure found in B. subtilis and other low-GC Gram-positive bacteria. The record is from Rfam.
UAAAACAAGUAGAAGCACCCGCUUCUCACCUGAUUGACACAUCCGUUUUGUAGUUAGCAGGUUACGAUGAAUUUUUUAUAUAUAAUCGUAGUGUGGGUGUUUGUGCAUCCACACUUUUUUAUUUUC